UUCUUUAUAAGUAAAUUGCUAAGUUUAGAUAAGGAUAUAUCAAUAUAAUAAAGUUGAAUGGAACUAGCUAAAAAUCUUAGUUAGGUCUAUACCUAAAACUUUAUAUAUAUAUAUAUAUAGAGAGAGAGAGAGAGAGAGAGAGAGAGAGAGAGAGUUGAGAAAGAAUAAUAUCGAUAGCAAAUGAGCUCCGUUGCCACCCAUUUAUUUUUUUAUGAUGGAGCCUCUAAAUCGACGAUCGGUACUAUUGAAUAUGAUCUAUACCACUUGAAGCAUUUAAAAACUAAAUUUCAAAUUUUUUUUACAUCAUUGGCCUAAUGAUCAAAGGAUUUUAAAAUUUAUAGUUUUAAUGAUCGAUAUAAGACGUUUUUUCAUUUAACGGCGAAAGAUAUCCGUAUCAAUUGAAUUUUGGUUAAAAAAUUCUUUAAACUAUUUAGAACAAGAUCUAUACUCUUGAUCUUGAUAAUAAGACUCUUUAUCAUCACUUUUUAAAAAAUACUUAUUUUCAGCCAUUCAUUUUUGUGUCCACUUGAUAGACAAGAGAAAAAUAUUGAAAAAAUAUAAAAUUUGGUUUCUAGAUACUUCAAGUGGUAUAGAUCAUAUUCAACGAUGUCGAUUGUCGAUUUAGAGGCUCCAUCAUCUAAAACAAAUAAAUGGCAAUAAAACCCAUCUACUAUCGAUAGCAUUCUAGCUUAACUCUCUCUCUCUCUCUAUAUAUAUAUAUAAAGGAGUCUGGCUACUAUACUUUUUAUGAGUAUUGGCUUUCUUAUACUCAUUAGUUUUUGGCCCUUAGAUUUAUUUCAUUGAUCAUUUCCACCUGUUAGAUCAUACUAUUAAACCAACUAUUCACUCAACCCUAGGAGAUCACUAUCAUUCUAAGUGAGAACCAUCAUCCUCUUAACCACACAUUUCAUCAAUCAACGGCUAAAAUUUAUAAGUACAAUCUUAUAAGAGUAUAGUAACCUCAGCCUAUAUAAAGCUAUUUAUAUAGAGGGAGAGUUAACUUUGUAGGCAUGUGAAUAUGUGAUGGGUGACUAGUGAGG
RNAcentral lists this long non-coding RNA (1040 nucleotides) under Ananas comosus (pineapple). RNAcentral describes it as "long non-coding RNA (ACOM_LNC011630)". Lineage: Eukaryota; Viridiplantae; Streptophyta; Magnoliopsida; Poales; Bromeliaceae. The record is from RNAcentral.